GGAAUGUGGCUCAAGUGGUAGCGCGCUCGCCUGGCAUGCGCUGGGCACUGGGUUCGAUCCUCAGCACCA
Molecule: transfer RNA, 69 nt
Filed under: Marmota monax (woodchuck)
Lineage: Eukaryota; Metazoa; Chordata; Mammalia; Rodentia; Sciuridae
Description: tRNA.Ala
Source: RNAcentral